GACGAACGCUGGCGGCGUGCUUAACACAUGCAAGUCGAACGGAAAGGCCCUGCUUUUGUGGGGUGCUCGAGUGGCGAACGGGUGAGUAACACGGGAGUAACCUGCCCUUGACUUUGGGAUAACUUCAGGAAACUGGGGCUAAUACCGGAUAGGAGCUCCUGCUGCAUGGUGGGGGUUGGAAAGUUUCGGCGGUUGGGGAUGGACUCGCGGCUUAUCAGCUUGUUGGUGGGGUAGUGGCUUACCGAGGCUUUGACGGGUAGCCGGCCUGAGAGGGUGACCGGCCACAUUGGGACUGAGAUACGGACCAGAAUCCUACGGGAGGCAGCAGUGGGGAAUAUUGCACAAUGGGCGGAAGCCUGAUGCAGCAACGCCGCGUGCGGGAUGACGGCCUUCGGGUUGUAAACCGCUUUCGCCUGUGACGAAGCGUGAGUGACGGUAAUGGGUAAAGAAGCACCGGCUAACUACGUG
Molecule: ribosomal RNA, 468 nt
Filed under: uncultured bacterium
Lineage: Bacteria
Description: partial 16S ribosomal RNA
Rfam family: Bacterial small subunit ribosomal RNA
Source: RNAcentral